This 725-nucleotide ribosomal RNA is filed under the name Salmonella enterica subsp. enterica serovar Typhimurium. RNAcentral describes it as "partial 23S ribosomal RNA". It matches the Rfam family "Bacterial large subunit ribosomal RNA", at positions 329 to 1051 of the family's 2925-position model. Lineage: Bacteria; Pseudomonadati; Pseudomonadota; Gammaproteobacteria; Enterobacterales; Enterobacteriaceae. The record is from RNAcentral.
GGAGAAGAACUUUCUGGAAAGAAAGACCAUAGAGCAUGACAGUUGCGUAUUCGUAUGUUGUCGAAGCAUAGUAGUAUCCUGAGUAGCGCGGAGCACGAGGAAUUCUGCGUGAAUCUGCCGGGACCAUCCGGUAAGGCUAAAUACUCCCGAGAGACCGAUAGCGAACCAGUACCGUGAGGGAAAGGUGAAAAGCACUUCGAACAGAAGAGUGAAAUAGUUCCUGAAACCGUGCGCCUACAAGCGGUCGGAGCUGCUUAAAGCAGUGACGGCGUGCCUUUUGCAUAAUGAACCUACGAGUUGCCUUUGCCGGCAAGGUUAAGUGUGACGACACACGUAUCCGAAGCGAAAGCGAGUCUGAACAGGGCGUAUAGUCGGCAGUGGCAGACGCGAAACCAAGUGAUCUACCCUUGGCCAGGUUGAAGGCUGGGUAACACCAGCUGGAGGACCGCACCAAUAAGCGUUGAAAAGCUUCUGGAUGAGCUGAGGGUAGGGGUGAAAGGCUAAUCAAACUUGGAGAUAGCUCGUACUCCCCGAAAUGCAUUUAGGUGCAGCCUUGCGGGUUACUGAUGUGAGGUAGAGCGACUGAUAAGAUGCGAGGGCUUCACCGCCUAUCAAGUCUUGACAAACUCCGAAUGCGCAUCAGUUCUACCGCAGGAGUGAGGGCAUGGGUGCUAAGGUCCGUGCCCGAGAGGAGAAGAAUCCGGACCACCUGCUAAGGUCCCGAA